ACGUAGGUGUCGAGCGUUAUCCGGAAUUACUGGGCGUAAAGGGCACGCAGGCGGCUGCUCAAGUCUGACGUGAAAACUCCCGGCUUAACCGGGAGAGGCCGUUGGAAACUGAGUAGCUUGAGGCAAUGAGAGGGAUGCGGAAUUCCAGGUGUAGUGGUGGAAUGCGUAGAUAUCUGGAAGAACACCAGUGGCGAAAGCGGCAUCCUGGCAUUGACCUGACGCUGAGGUGCGAAAGCGUGGGUAGCGAACGGG
This 252-nucleotide ribosomal RNA is filed under the name uncultured bacterium. RNAcentral's name for it is "partial 16S ribosomal RNA". It matches the Rfam family "Bacterial small subunit ribosomal RNA", at positions 525 to 776 of the family's 1533-position model. The record is from RNAcentral.